Molecule: ribosomal RNA, 221 nt
Filed under: uncultured bacterium
Lineage: Bacteria
Description: partial 16S ribosomal RNA
Rfam family: Bacterial small subunit ribosomal RNA
Source: RNAcentral
UAGUCUCAGUUCGGAUUGUAGGCUGAAACUCGCCUACAUGAAGCUGGAGUUGCUAGUAAUCGCGAAUCAGCAUGUCGCGGUGAAUACGUUCCCGGGCCCUUGUACACACCGCCCGUCACACCAUGAGAGUUGGCAAUACCCAACGUACGUGAUCUAACCCGCAAGGGAGGAAGCGUCCUAAGGUAGGGUCAGCGAUUGGGGUGAAGUCGUAACAAGGUACC